This 300-nucleotide ribosomal RNA is filed under the name uncultured Rhodoplanes sp. Its description in RNAcentral is "bacterial SSU rRNA". It matches the Rfam family "Bacterial small subunit ribosomal RNA", at positions 114 to 432 of the family's 1533-position model. The record is from RNAcentral. Lineage: Bacteria; Pseudomonadati; Pseudomonadota; Alphaproteobacteria; Hyphomicrobiales; Nitrobacteraceae.
CACGUGGGAACGCGCCCUUCGGUUCGGAAUAACUCAGGGAAACUUGAGCUAAUACCGGAUACGCCCUUACGGGAAAGAUUUAUUGCCGAAGGAACGGCCCGCGUCCGAUUAGCUAGUUGGUGAGGUAAUGGCUCACCAAGGCGACGAUCGGUAGCUGGUCUGAGAGGAUGACCAGCCUCACUGGGACUGAGACACGGCCCAGACUCCUACGGGAGGCAGCAGUGGGGAAUAUUGGACAAUGGGCGCAAGCCUGAUCCAGCCAUGCCGCGUGGAUGAUGAAGGCCCUAGGGUUGUAAAGUC